This 274-nucleotide ribosomal RNA is filed under the name uncultured bacterium. RNAcentral describes it as "partial 16S ribosomal RNA". It matches the Rfam family "Bacterial small subunit ribosomal RNA", at positions 523 to 796 of the family's 1533-position model. The record is from RNAcentral.
AUACAGAGGGCGCGAGCGUUAAUGGGAAUUACUGGGCGUAAAGCGCGCGUAGGCGGCUUAUUAAGUCAGAUGUGCAAUCCCCGGGCUCAACCUGGGAACUGCAUCUGAUACUGGUAAGCUAGAGUUUUGGAGAGGGAAGUAGAAUUUCAGGUGUAGCGGUGAAAUGCAUAGAGAUCUGAAGGAAUACCAGUGGCGAAGGCGACUUCCUGGCCAAAAACUGACGCUGAGGUGCGAAAGCGUGGGUAGCAAACGGGAUUAGAAACCCCAGUAGUCC